This 471-nucleotide ribosomal RNA is filed under the name uncultured bacterium. RNAcentral's name for it is "bacterial SSU rRNA". It matches the Rfam family "Bacterial small subunit ribosomal RNA", at positions 329 to 793 of the family's 1533-position model. The record is from RNAcentral.
GUACCCACUCCUACGGGAGGCAGCAGUGGGGAAUAUUGCACAAUGGGCGCAAGCCUGAUGCAGCCAUGCCGCGUGUAUGAAGAAGGCCUUCGGGUUGUAAAGUACUUUCAGCAGUGAGGAAGGUGGGUAUGUUAAUAGCAUAUUCAUUUGACGUUAGCUGCAGAAGAAGCACCGGCUAACUCCGUGCCAGCAGCCGCGGUAAUACGGAGGGUGCGAGCGUUAAUCGGAAUUACUGGGCGUAAAGCGCAUGCAGGUGGUUUGUUAAGUCAGAUGUGAAAGCCCGGGGCUCAACCUCGGAAUUGCAUUUGAAACUGGCAAACUAGAGUACUGUAGAGGGGGUAGAAUUUCAGGUGUAGCGGUGAAAUGCGUAGAGAUCUGAAGGAAUACCGGUGGCGAAGGCGGCCCCCUGGACAGAUACUGACACUCAGAUGCGAAAGCGUGGGGAGCAAACAGGAUUAGAUACCCUGGUAG